ACCGGCGCAAGGGUGCGUAACGCGUGAGCAACAUGCCCGUAUCAGGGGGAUAAUCCAUGGAAACGUGGUCUAAUACCCCAUAGUAAGUUUUUGGGGCAUCUCAAAGAUUUUAAAGCUUUGGUGGAUACGGAUUGGCUCGCGUGACAUUAGCUAGAUGGUAAGGUAACGGCUUACCAUGGCUACGAUGUCUAGGGGUUCUGAGAGGAAGGUCCCCCACACUGGAACUGAGACACGGUCCAGACUCCUACGGGAGGCAGCAGUGAGGAAUAUUGGACAAUGGAUGGAAAUCUGAUCCAGCCAUGCCGCGUGCAGGAAGACGGCCCUAUGGGUUGUAAACUGCUUUUGUAUGGGAGCAAUAAGGGCUACGUGUAGUCCGAUGAGAGUACCAUACGAAUAAGCACCGGCUAACUCCGUGCCAGCAGCCGCGGUAAUACGGAGGGUGCAAGCGUUAUCCGGAUUUAUUGGGUUUAAAGGGUGCGUAGGCGGUUUGAUAAGUCAGCGGUGAAAUAUUUCAGCUUAACUGGAAGGGUGCCGUUGAUACUGUCGAGCUUGAAUUUAGUUGCUGUGGGUGGAAUGUGUGGUGUAGCGGUGAAAUGCAUAGAUAUCACACAGAAUAUCGAUUGCGAAGGCAGCUCACAAAGCUAAUAUUGACGCUGAUGCACGAAAGUGUGGGGAUCAAACAGGAUUAGAUACCCUGGUAGUCCACACUGUAAACGAUGACAACUCGCUGUCGG
Molecule: ribosomal RNA, 734 nt
Filed under: uncultured bacterium
Lineage: Bacteria
Description: bacterial SSU rRNA
Rfam family: Bacterial small subunit ribosomal RNA
Source: RNAcentral